This 449-nucleotide ribosomal RNA is filed under the name uncultured bacterium. RNAcentral's name for it is "partial 16S ribosomal RNA". It matches the Rfam family "Bacterial small subunit ribosomal RNA", at positions 354 to 795 of the family's 1533-position model. The record is from RNAcentral.
GUGGGGAAUUUUGGACAAUGGGCGCAAGCCUGAUCCAGCCAUUCCGCGUGCAGGAUGAAGGCCUUCGGGUUGUAAACUGCUUUUGUACGGAACGAAAAGCCUCUGGUUAAUACCCGGGGGUCAUGACGGUACCGUAAGAAUAAGCACCGGCUAACUACGUGCCAGCAGCCGCGGUAAUACGUAGGGUGCGAGCGUUAAUCGGAAUUACUGGGCGUAAAGCGUGCGCAGGCUGUGAUGUAAGACAGUUGUGAAAUCCCCGGGCUCAACCUGGGAACUGCAUCUGUGACUGCAUUGCUGGAGUGCGGCAGAGGGGGAUGGAAUUCCGCGUGUAGCAGUGAAAUGCGUAGAUAUGCGGAGGAACACCGAUGGCGAAGGCAAUCCCCUGGGCCUGCACUGACGCUCAUGCACGAAAGCGUGGGGAUCAAACAGGAUUAGAUACCCGAGUAGCC